AGAUGAAAAAGGUAAACCCGUUGAAAGACGGGGACACAAAGCUAUGGGUCUAAGGCUAUACGCUAUGACUGCCAGGUUGCCACU
RNAcentral lists this non-coding RNA (84 nucleotides) under Desulfosporosinus sp. Its description in RNAcentral is "c-di-GMP sequence". It matches the Rfam family "c-di-GMP-I riboswitch aptamer". Rfam says of the family: GEMM was predicted in a large-scale screen for bacterial structured RNA regulatory elements. The record is from RNAcentral. Lineage: Bacteria; Bacillati; Bacillota; Clostridia; Eubacteriales; Desulfitobacteriaceae.